RNA transcript from Zea mays, 2814 nucleotides. RefSeq lists it as uncharacterized. Lineage: Eukaryota; Viridiplantae; Streptophyta; Magnoliopsida; Poales; Poaceae. The record is from RefSeq and is a predicted model, not a curated record. The transcript is spliced from 11 exons.
CCGCCUGCCAUCGCCAGCGCGCAAUCCUUUCCAUCCGCGUCCGCAAUCCGCCGCGCCCCUGCGCCAAAUACGCCACCACGCCCCUGCUCACCGAUGGAAGGUCUCCACGCACAAUCUGCCGCCCCUGCGCCAAAUCCGCCGCCAUGCCCCUGCUCGCCGAUGGAAGGUCUCCACGUGCAAUCCGCCGCCUGCCAUCGCCAGCGCGCAAUCCUUUCCAUCUGCGCCCGCAACGCUCGCCCAUGUGCCAAAUCCUCCUUGGACGCGCCCCGACGGCUGGCGCAACCCCUCCUCGUGCCACGACUUGCGGAGAAUGGAAGGUCCGUGGAGCAAUAAAGGGUGGAGCGAAGGUUAUUGGCGGCGGCGGGAUCUUCAACCUAUUUGAUUGGAAGCGAAAGUCGCGCAAGAAGCUGUUCUCCAACUCGCCCGAGGGGUCCAAGCUUGUUAAGAGGAGCGAAGAAACAUUGCUGUCAGGGUGUCUCCACUUGCUUGAUGAACUCAAGACACUGGCGAAUGAUUGUCAACACCGUGAAAUGAGUCUCGAAGUCGUUCCUGAUGACGGGGGGUGGUGGAGGUUGGGGCCGUUGUUGCUCCAGGUGUAGUUCUCGAUGAAGUAGACACAAUCAAUUCUGGCCCUGAACGAGACCUCCCGUAGAAGCUCUUCAGCCUGCCUAAUGGAUCUCAUGCUCUUGCUUGGCAUGGAUGUCUCACCCUCGCCCUCUCACAAUUGUAAUCUCUUUGCCCUUUUAGUGUUAUGUUCCUGGGCUUCAAAAGCUCAAUAUAUGAGGUGGGAUUUUUGCCUCCCCAUCGAGAAAAAAUAAAAAAUGUAUGUUGUCAUGCUAUGCUGAUGGACGGGGGGGAAGGGGCAUGCUCCCAGGCCGCCGCAGAGAUGCAGGGUUUUUUCUGCGAAUCUGAUAAAGCAUGGGUAGCGCAAGCAGAGAUGCAGGGUGAACCGUUCCAAAUCUGAUAAAGCAUGGGUAGCGCAAGCAGAGAUGCAGGGUGAAUCGUUCCAAAUCUGAUAAAGCAUGGGUAGCGCAAGCAGAGAUGCAGGGUUUUUCCUGCGAUAUUAUGUUUACUGAUAAGGAGCUAGAUAUAAUUGAGAUGGCUGUGUAUGGGGACAUCAUUCGUCCAGGGAAGCAAUGUCGCUGCAGAACAGUAGUAGAGGUGCUCGGGCAGGUGAAGCCAACGAAUCGCAUGGCUGCAUUUGAUUCCAUUCAACAUGGGAACUUGAGUUCUUUCUCACAAGGCAUAAUAUUGGGAACUCGCCGACAUCGUCGCGUAGGGUGGUGCUCACCGGAGACUCCACCUUUGGUAAGUCAAACCUGCUCAUCAGAUCCACAGAUCCGACACCAUGCUUAGACGACCAUGGCAAGACCGUCGAGGAGGACACCGGCCCUAGAUUGCGACCAUCAUGGAGCUCGAUGAGGUCGUCGUUACCACCGGAGAGGAUGACGAUACAGUGCUCCUGGACAUGUGAGUCAUCACUUCGAUUCUCCCCCUCCACGAUCUGACCGACAAGGUCCUAUCAUGCAGCACACGAAGACACCUAAGAUCUGCACUAACCAUCUCGUGUUGACGACAACUAAGAUUUAGUAGCAAGCCGGCAACGACAAGGCAUGCGUGUGUCACGCACUCGACUUCGCAAAUGGUGAGCUCAAGGAGAAGAUGCUUGCUAUCCGUUUUGGAUCUGUGGACAACAUCUCACCCUACACCGAUGAACCAGAGGUCACCGCACCCUUGGUCAAGUUCAUGUAUGAAUUUGUUUUGAACAAAGCUCAAAGACUGACAUUUGAUUCAUCAUAACCAAAUGGGAUCCAUUUGUUCCGGGAGGUUAGCAAGAUAAUCGUGGCUUACAAAUCAUGAAAUCUAUUGCUUCCUAAUGGCACAAACAUUUAUGGAAGUAAAUACAAAGGCAUAUGGAUCUCGAUCUCACUGACUGUUCUCUAAAGGGCCGCUUUGGAUCUUGAAAACAGUGAAGGAAAAAACUUGCAGCGUCUUGUCCAUUUGUCUUCCGACCUAGCUAGGCAUGUUGCCAUGGUUCUGGAAAAUGUUCAGACAUCUGAAGAGAAUAGGAAAUUUGGAAGUGUUCCUUCUAUAAACACAAGCUCAUGUGGUCGUCCAUCAACCAAAGAGGAGAUCAAUGAAGUCCAUCAAGAGAAGCAAAAGUUUGUUGAAGGAGCAAAGAAAGAAGUCCGAGGCCGUCGUGCCCGUCGUAUGCAGGACGACAACCUAUCACUCCACUCCAAUUCCUACAAAGGAAGGUCCAAAACUAGCCUCCUAGAAUGCUUGAAGGAUUCUCGUAGCCAUGCCACUAAGAGUGACAGACCCGGUAUUACCAUUCAAGGGUGCAAGCGUCGCUAACCAACACGUCGUGCGAUGGGUUGCACUAACCUCUAGCAACCAACACCUCGUCAGCCUACUGCUAUCACCUAAAAUCGGACGGCUCCGACAGACAAAAGCAUCAGCUAGAGCGUGAGAAAGACCAUACCACUCAGGAACCAAGCUCUUCCUCCACCAACGCGUGAAACCUUUUCUCAUAACAAUAUAAUACACAUUUUAGUAUAAUACACAUUUGUACAUAAAUUAUCGUGAUAUUAUAUGUUUUAGUUGCAAUGCACAUAAGUUAUCGUGGUAUUAUAUGAUCUCGUGUUAUCGUGGUAUUAUAUGUUCUCAUUGUAAUGUACAAAACAUUCUCAUAACAGUAUAAUAUACAUUUCAACAUAAUACAUAUUUAUACAUAAGUUACCGUGAUAUUAUAUGUUCCCGUUGCAACGCACGGGCACUCACCUAGUUUUAUAUUAUAUUGGUAUUGUAAUG